This 450-nucleotide ribosomal RNA is filed under the name uncultured bacterium. RNAcentral describes it as "partial 16S ribosomal RNA". It matches the Rfam family "Bacterial small subunit ribosomal RNA", at positions 354 to 796 of the family's 1533-position model. The record is from RNAcentral.
GUGGGGAAUCUUCCGCAAUGGACGAAAGUCUGACGGAGCAACGCCGCGUGAGUGAAGAAGGUUUUCGGAUCGUAAAGCUCUUUCGUUAGGGACGAACGUGCUCUUUGUGAAUAAUGAGGAGUAAUGACGGUACCUAAAUAAGAAGCCACGGCUAACUACGUGCCAGCAGCCGCGGUAAUACGUAGGUGGCAAGCGUUGUCCGGACUUAUUGGGCGUAAAGCGCGCGCAGGCGGGAUAUCAAGUCUGUCUUAAAAGUGCGAGGCUCAACCUCGUGAGGGGACAGAAACUGGUAUACUUGAGUGUCGGAGAGGAAAGUGGAAUUCCAAGUGUAGCGGUGAAAUGCGUAGAGAUUUGGAAGAACACCAGUGGCGAAGGCGACUUUCUGGACGAUGUCUGACGCUGAGGCGCGAAAGCUAGGGGAGCGAACGGGAUUAGAAACCCGAGUAGUCC